RNAcentral lists this long non-coding RNA (218 nucleotides) under dengue virus type 2. Its description in RNAcentral is "Dengue virus type 2 partial sfRNA2". The stretch from base 83 to 154 matches the Rfam family "Flavivirus DB element". The record is from RNAcentral. Lineage: Riboviria; Orthornavirae; Kitrinoviricota; Flasuviricetes; Amarillovirales; Flaviviridae.
AAGAAGUCAGGCCACUACAAGUGCCAUAACUUGAGCAAACUAUGCAGCCUGUAGCUCCACCUGGGAAGGUGUAAAAAAUCUGGGAGGCCACAAACCAUGGAAGCUGUACGCAUGGUGUAGUGGACUAGCGGUUAGAGGAGACCCCUCCCUUGCAAAUCGCAGCAACAAUGGGGGCCCAAGGUGAGAUGAAGCUGUAGUCUCACUGGAAGGACUAGAGG